RNAcentral lists this ribosomal RNA (2904 nucleotides) under Pectobacterium carotovorum subsp. carotovorum. RNAcentral describes it as "23S ribosomal RNA". It matches the Rfam family "Bacterial large subunit ribosomal RNA". Lineage: Bacteria; Pseudomonadati; Pseudomonadota; Gammaproteobacteria; Enterobacterales; Pectobacteriaceae. The record is from RNAcentral.
UUAAGCGACUAAGCGUACACGGUGGAUGCCUAGGCAGUCAGAGGCGAUGAAGGGCGUGCUAAUCUGCGAUAAGCGUCGGUAAGCUGAUAUGAAGCGUUAUACCCGACGAUACCCGAAUGGGGAAACCCAGUGUGUUUCGACACACUAUCAUGACAUGAAUACAUAGUGUCAUGAGGCGAACCGGGGGAACUGAAACAUCUCAGUACCCCGAGGAAAAGAAAUCAACCGAGAUUCCCCCAGUAGCGGCGAGCGAACGGGGAGGAGCCCAGAACCUGAAUCAGUUUGUGUGUUAGUGGAAGCGUCUGGAAAGUCGCACAGUAAAGGGUGAUAGUCCCGUACACAAAAAUGCACAAGUUGUGAGUUCGAUGAGUAGGGCGGGACACGUGACAUCCUGUCUGAAUAUGGGGGGACCAUCCUCCAAGGCUAAAUACUCCUGACUGACCGAUAGUGAACCAGUACCGUGAGGGAAAGGCGAAAAGAACCCCGGCGAGGGGAGUGAAAUAGAACCUGAAACCGUGUACGUACAAGCAGUGGGAGCCUACUCGUUAGGUGACUGCGUACCUUUUGUAUAAUGGGUCAGCGACUUAUAUUCUGUAGCAAGGUUAACCGUAUAGGGGAGCCGCAGGGAAACCGAGUCUUAACUGGGCGUUAAGUUGCAGGGUAUAGACCCGAAACCCGGUGAUCUAGCCAUGGGCAGGUUGAAGGUUGGGUAACACUAACUGGAGGACCGAACCGACUAAUGUUGAAAAAUUAGCGGAUGACUUGUGGCUGGGGGUGAAAGGCCAAUCAAACCGGGAGAUAGCUGGUUCUCCCCGAAAGCUAUUUAGGUAGCGCCUCGUGAAUUCAUCUUCGGGGGUAGAGCACUGUUUCGGCUAGGGGGUCAUCCCGACUUACCAACCCGAUGCAAACUACGAAUACCGAAGAAUGUUAUCACGGGAGACACACGGCGGGUGCUAACGUUCGUCGUGAAGAGGGAAACAACCCAGACCGCCAGCUAAGGUCCCAAAGUCAUGGUUAAGUGGGAAACGAUGUGGGAAGGCACAGACAGCCAGGAUGUUGGCUUAGAAGCAGCCAUCAUUUAAAGAAAGCGUAAUAGCUCACUGGUCGAGUCGGCCUGCGCGGAAGAUGUAACGGGGCUAAACCAUGCACCGAAGCUGCGGCAGCGACGCUUAGGCGUUGUUGGGUAGGGGAGCGUUCUGUAAGCCGUCGAAGGUGGCCUGUGAGGGCUGCUGGAGGUAUCAGAAGUGCGAAUGCUGACAUAAGUAACGAUAAUGCGGGUGAAAAACCCGCACGCCGGAAGACCAAGGGUUCCUGUCCAACGUUAAUCGGGGCAGGGUGAGUCGACCCCUAAGGCGAGGCUGAAAAGCGUAGUCGAUGGGAAACAGGUUAAUAUUCCUGUACUCGGUGUUACUGCGAAGGGGGGACGGAGAAAGCUAGGUUAUCCGGGCGACGGUUGUCCCGGUUUAAGCGUGAAGGUGGAUGACUUUGGUAAAUCCGGGUCGUCAUUAACACUGAGGCGUGAUGACGAGUCACUACGGUGAUGAAGUAACCGAUGCUACGCUUCCAGGAAAAGCCUCUAAGCUCCAGGUAACAUCAAAUCGUACCCCAAACCGACACAGGUGGUCAGGUAGAGAAUACUCAGGCGCUUGAGAGAACUCGGGUGAAGGAACUAGGCAAAAUGGUGCCGUAACUUCGGGAGAAGGCACGCUGAUGGUAGGUGAAGUGACUUGCUCAUGGAGCUGAAAUCAGUCGAAGAUACCAGCUGGCUGCAACUGUUUAAUAAAAACACAGCACUGUGCAAACACGAAAGUGGACGUAUACGGUGUGACGCCUGCCCGGUGCCGGAAGGUUAAUUGAUGGGGUCAGCCGCAAGGCGAAGCUCUUGAUCGAAGCCCCGGUAAACGGCGGCCGUAACUAUAACGGUCCUAAGGUAGCGAAAUUCCUUGUCGGGUAAGUUCCGACCUGCACGAAUGGCGUAAUGAUGGCCAGGCUGUCUCCACCCGAGACUCAGUGAAAUUGAACUCGCUGUGAAGAUGCAGUGUACCCGCGGCAAGACGGAAAGACCCCGUGAACCUUUACUAUAGCUUGACACUGAACCUUGAGCCUUGAUGUGUAGGAUAGGUGGGAGGCUUUGAAGCGUGGACGCCAGUCUGCGUGGAGCCAACCUUGAAAUACCACCCUUUAAUGUUUGAUGUUCUAACGUGGGCCCGUAAUCCGGGUUGCGGACAGUGUCUGGUGGGUAGUUUGACUGGGGCGGUCUCCUCCCAAAGCGUAACGGAGGAGCACGAAGGUUAGCUAAUCCUGGUCGGACAUCAGGAGGUUAGUGCAAAGGCAUAAGCUAGCUUGACUGCGAGAGUGACAGCUCGAGCAGGUGCGAAAGCAGGUCUUAGUGAUCCGGUGGUUCUGAAUGGAAGGGCCAUCGCUCAACGGAUAAAAGGUACUCCGGGGAUAACAGGCUGAUACCGCCCAAGAGUUCAUAUCGACGGCGGUGUUUGGCACCUCGAUGUCGGCUCAUCACAUCCUGGGGCUGAAGUAGGUCCCAAGGGUAUGGCUGUUCGCCAUUUAAAGUGGUACGCGAGCUGGGUUUAGAACGUCGUGAGACAGUUCGGUCCCUAUCUGCCGUGGGCGUUGGAAGAUUGAGAGGGGUUGCUCCUAGUACGAGAGGACCGGAGUGAACGCACCACUGGUGUACGGGUUGUGAUGCCAAUUGCAUUGCCCGGUAGCUAAGUGCGGAAGAGAUAACCGCUGAAAGCAUCUAAGCGGGAAACUUGCCUCGAGAUGAGUCUUCCCUGGGCACUAGAUGCCCCUGAAGGGCCGUUGAAGACGACGACGUAGAUAGGCUGGGUGUGUAAGCGUAGCGAUACGUUGAGCUAACCAGUACUAAUGACCCGAGAGGCUUAACCU